GCACUGCUGAGGAGUCCCAUAAUAGGAAGAGACGGCCGUCCAGUGC
Molecule: non-coding RNA, 46 nt
Filed under: Schistosoma mansoni
Lineage: Eukaryota; Metazoa; Platyhelminthes; Trematoda; Strigeidida; Schistosomatidae
Source: RNAcentral